Theobroma cacao (cacao) is the source of this 93-nucleotide small nucleolar RNA. It matches the Rfam family "Small nucleolar RNA snoR8a". Lineage: Eukaryota; Viridiplantae; Streptophyta; Magnoliopsida; Malvales; Malvaceae. The record is from Rfam.
AAGUUAGCGAUAAUUAUAAAAAUAAUUAUUUGUUAUGACUUGCUUAAUUUGGGUAUGACAAAUAUCUUAUUACAAUCAUAGAAUAUGAGUUAC